This 64-nucleotide transfer RNA is filed under the name Philine aperta. RNAcentral describes it as "tRNA-Val". Lineage: Eukaryota; Metazoa; Mollusca; Gastropoda; Cephalaspidea; Philinidae. The record is from RNAcentral.
AAAGACAAAGUAUAAGCGUAGUACAUUUCACUUACAAUGAAAAGGGCCAGAUAAGGUGUCUUUA